RNAcentral lists this long non-coding RNA (873 nucleotides) under Zostera marina. RNAcentral's name for it is "long non-coding RNA (ZMAR_LNC003200)". The record is from RNAcentral. Lineage: Eukaryota; Viridiplantae; Streptophyta; Magnoliopsida; Alismatales; Zosteraceae.
GGGGAGGGUUAGAGAGGAGUGGGAGAAGUGGAGACGUUUUUGGGGGGAAAUAAAAUGAAAAAAAUCCGAAAUUUUUUUACUUAUAUAAAAAAUUCGGCCGCCAGGAAAUACUUAAGUUCGAGUUGACUAUGUUUGACUGUACGGGGGACCACGACGGCGCAAGUUGUAAUUUUUGGGUUUCCAAAAAAUCCUGUCGGCCAGGCCGCCGACUACUGGAAAAAACAAACGGAAAAAAGUAUCCAGCGGCCAAGCCGCCAACAAUUUUUCUCCCGACUGUUGAGGGUUUUAGGAUGCCGGCGGCCAGGCCGCCGGCUCACUUCUUCCCGACCGUUGGGGAAAUUGGAGCCUGGCCGCCGGCUCACUUCUCUCAUUUACGAGGGAAAAUUAUGCCGGCGGACAAGUGUAACAUUCCGGCGGCCUAGCCGUCGGGAGAUGGACGCCAGAACUGCGCUAGUUUUUUGUAGUGACACAAUAUAAAGUUUUAAAAUAUUCGAUGAAAAAUAUUUCAAUUCCUACAAAUCCCCAAAUCCUCUUGCAUUGGAAUUUUAGAGUUACAUACAUAUCAUAUGCCAAGACAUUUUUUCCAACUUGUUCUUUGAACACUUUGUCCAUCGUUCUUUGGAAGGUUGCUUCGAAUAGAAUAUAUAUAGGAACUUACUUAUUAUGACGUUACAAUUUCAAAUUGUGAACAUUAUUGAUCGAUAUUUUACAAAAUUCGAACAACAUUCUUCUAAACACAUAUAGAAAAAUAUUGAAUAAUAGACCUAUAUAUACCCGCCCUGUUGGAAGGAUGUUCGCGGUAAGGAAUUUGUCCCGUUCGAGUUCUACAGACCCGGUCGUCCUGCCCCGACCAUAAAACGAGGAGGGUCUGGG